GCGUACUUAGCUCAAUGGUUAGAGCAUCACUCAUUAAUUCUGAAGUUUUGGGUUUGAGUCCCACAGUACACA
Puccinia sorghi is the source of this 72-nucleotide transfer RNA. It matches the Rfam family "tRNA". Rfam says of the family: Transfer RNA (tRNA) molecules are approximately 80 nucleotides in length. Their secondary structure includes four short double-helical elements and three loops (D, anti-codon, and T loops). Further hydrogen bonds mediate the characteristic L-shaped molecular structure. tRNAs have two regions of fundamental functional importance: the anti-codon, which is responsible for specific mRNA codon recognition, and the 3' end, to which the tRNAs corresponding amino acid is attached (by aminoacyl-tRNA synthetases). tRNAs cope with the degeneracy of the genetic code in two manners: having more than one tRNA (with a specific anti-codon) for a particular amino acid; and 'wobble' base-pairing, i.e. permitting non-standard base-pairing at the 3rd anti-codon position. The record is from Rfam. NCBI's taxonomy places the organism in Eukaryota, Fungi, Basidiomycota, Pucciniomycetes, Pucciniales, Pucciniaceae.